UUUUUUUUUUUUUUUUUUUGAGAUGGAGUCUUGCUCCGUCACCCAGGCUGGAGUGCAGAGGCGCAAUCACGACUCACUGCAGCCUACACCUCUCGGGUUCAAGCAAUUCUCCUGCCUCAGCCUCCCCAGUAGCUGGGAUUACAGGUAACCACCACCAUGCCCAGCUAAUUUUUUUUUGGUAUUUUUAGUAGAGAUGGGGUUUGGACAUGUCAGCCAGGCUGGUGUCGAACUCCUGACCUCAGCUGAUCCGCCCACCUUGGCCUCCCAAAGUGGUAGCGUUACAGGCAUGAGCCACCGCGCCUGGCCUGCCCUAGGUAUUUCUUUCUGUUGUUCUAGAUGACUCUAGGGCUCCUGACCUCCUGAGGGGGCCACUGCUUCCCCUCUAAACCUGCUCCCCUGGCAGGCGCUUUAGGGCCUGCCAGGACGAUGGCAAUAAGAGACACCAAAUUGCGAAAACGCACAGCAGUUCCACUCCUGGGUAUACACCCAAGAAAAUGGUACAAGGUACACACACACAACCUAGUAAAAAAUGAAUGUUUAUAGCAGCGUUAUUCACAAUAGGUAAACAGUGGAAACAACCCAAAUGUCCAUGGAUGGAUGGAAGGAUAAAUGAAGUGUGGUCUAUCCAUACAAUGGGAUGUUACCCAGCCAUAAAAAGGCGUGAAGCCUUGAUACAAGCGCAACAUGGACAGAUCUUGAAGCUGUGAUGUUAAGUUAAAGAAGCCAGACCCAAAAGGCCACAUAUUGCAUGAAAUGCCCAGAGCAAGCAAAUCUAUAGAAACAAAAAGCAGGUGAGGCGGCCACCAGAGAAUGGGAGGAGGGGUUAAUUGGGAGCGGCUGCUCACGGAUACAAGUGUCCUUUGGGGUGAUGAAAAUGUUCAAAAAUGGAUUGUGGUGGUGGUUACACAACUCUGUGAAUAUACUAGAAACCAUUGAAUUGUACACUUUUAAAGGGUAAUUUUAACAUAUGUAUAUUACAUCUCAAUAGAAAAAUAAAACAGGCUGGGGGUGGUGGCUCAUGCCUGUAAUCCCAGGACUUUGGGGGUGCCAAGGCUGGAGAAUAUCUUGAGGCCAGGAGUUUGAGAUAAGUCUGGGAAACAGUAAGAUCCUGUCUCUACAAUAAAUAAAUAAUAACCGGGCAUGGUGGUGCAUGCCUAUUGCCCCAGCUACUUGAGAGGCUGAGGUGGAAGGAUCGCUUGAGCUCAGGAAGUCUAGGCUGCAAGGAGCUUGAUUAUGCCGCUGCACUCCAGCCUGAGUGACAAGAGUGAGGCCCUAUCACAAAAAAAAAAAAAAAGAGAAAGAAAGAAAAAAGAAAAAGAAAACAAUACUUCACAUUGUUGCUCACGGAUGCUAAGGGAUUGAAUUUUUUCUAGUGGGCCCACCACCCGGCUGGCCUCGCUGUUCUGG
RNAcentral lists this long non-coding RNA (1407 nucleotides) under Macaca fascicularis (crab-eating macaque). RNAcentral's name for it is "lncRNA (ENSMFAG00000052076.1)". The record is from RNAcentral. Lineage: Eukaryota; Metazoa; Chordata; Mammalia; Primates; Cercopithecidae.